RNAcentral lists this long non-coding RNA (1513 nucleotides) under Strigops habroptila (Kakapo). RNAcentral describes it as "lncRNA (ENSSHBG00005018664.1)". The record is from RNAcentral. Lineage: Eukaryota; Metazoa; Chordata; Aves; Psittaciformes; Psittacidae.
UUUGCUGAAUUAGCAACACUAAGGUGGAUAGUUUAAAAUGGAAAUUAGUUACUGUAUGUAGCACUACUACUAUGACAGUCACAAAGCCUUAAGAAAACACAGUGGCUACCUAAGAGUAUCAUUCUCAGCAGAGGAUUAUAUAGGCUGGUUACCUGGAGCACACUGGCACCAUAAAUUCAUUGUACAUUUUGUAGUAGUGUAAAACUCUUCAUUCUUGCAACAUGCAACGCAUUCGGUCAAGAAAGCAAAAGGAAAAGACAAAGAGCAGAAAUCCCUUAUUACAGCCCGUAAGAAAUAAGAGAACCUAAAGAUCUACCAAGCGUGCAUACAGAUCCAUUUGAAACGUUAACAGUAUUUUUUCCCCUGAAAGCAAUAGGAAACAAAAAGUAUCUGUCACCUAUAUUUCUCUUUAAUGCCUCAGCUUUGCUAUGAAUUCCCUUGCUGAGUGGCAGGUAUACAUGCUCACUUCAAGAUAGCCCUCGGCUCUCUGCCUGUCUGGAUGCUGAUGCCUGAAACACUGCUGAGAAUCAUAGCUUAGUUUACCUUAUGCAGUUUAGUAGCCAUGGUUUUAAUAUCUGGCAUUAUGCUCCCAGACUGCGUGCCAGGCCCAGAGACAGGAAAUUCUAUUUUCAGAUCCAUCAAAUUGGUACUGCUGUAGUCAAGGAUAUUAAAUUAUGUAGUUUUAGUUUGUUGUGUGGUUUCUUACUUUUGUCUACUAUCAUCAGCCACAUAAGACAGGCUGUAAAUUUUGGGAAGAAAUACUAUCUCCACUUAUGUCCUCUGAACAAAGUACAGUGACUGUGGUUCUCUGGAAUUUUCAUUAGAAAGCUCCUUUCUUCUUCCCCUAGGCAUGAAGGACCUUGACCGUUUCUAGACAACAAGGACUAUGCAGUGCAAAGGCAAAACUGCAACGGUAUCUUCAGUUAUCAACCCCCAUUAACAAAGUGAUCUCCACAUAUGACUUUUGCUGAAACAGCGUAAGGCAUCCAGAAGCCUCCAAAAUCUUAACUAAUUCUGCUAAGAAUGUUCAAAGCUGGAAGAUCUCGCAAACCCACUAGUUUAAACCAUGAUAAAGCUGAAUAAAAAUUAUUUUACCAAAAGGAUUUUGAACACCUGUAAAUUUCAGAUCUUUUAAAGCACUUCUCUUCACAUUUCGAACAUUUUUACAGUAGUGUAGGAAAGCCUCAGAAAACUAAUAUACGCACCUAUCAUUAAAGUAAUAGAAAAAAGAAUAUAGAAAAAAAAUCACAAAAAUAGAGCUUUAAAGGUACAAUUUUCAAGAUGUAGCAGAUAUACAGGGUUUCAGACUAUAAAAAUUUCCCUCUCUAUAUAACAAAGUUUGCCUUGUAGUCCUAUGGCUACCUCCUCUGAUGCUGCAGUAACAAGGCAGCUGGAAAUUCCCAUUAGCACUGAGGCUUGUUAGUCACAAAGACUCUGUCUGAACUGCAGGGCACCUGACCUGAGCGUGCAUGGGCGCAGGAAAAAGAUGAAAAAAAAAAAAGAAAAGGACAAC